GAUGAACGCUGGCGGCGUGCCUAAUACAUGCAAGUCGAGCGAACAGACGAGGAGCUUGCUCCUCUGACGUUAGCGGCGGACGGGUGAGUAACACGUGGAUAACCUACCUAUAAUACUGGGAUAACUUCGGGAAACCGGAGCUAAUACCGGAUAAUAUAUUGAACCGCAUGGUUCAAUAGUGAAAGACGGUUUUGCUUUCACUUAUAGAUUGAUCCGCGCCGCAUUAGCUAGUUGGUAAGGUAACGGCUUACCAAGGCAACGAUGCGUAGCCGACCUGAGAGGGUGAUCGGCCACACUGGAACUGAGACACGGUCCAGACUCCUACGGGAGGCAGCAGUAGGGAAUCUUCCGCAAUGGGCGAAAGCCUGACGGAGCAACGCCGCGUGAGUGAUGAAGGUCUUCGGAUCGUAAAACUCUGUUAUUAGGGAAGAACAAAUGUGUAAGUAACUAUGCACGUCUUGACGGUACCUAAUCAGAAAGCCACGGCUAACUACGUG
RNAcentral lists this ribosomal RNA (497 nucleotides) under uncultured bacterium. RNAcentral's name for it is "partial 16S ribosomal RNA". It matches the Rfam family "Bacterial small subunit ribosomal RNA", at positions 28 to 507 of the family's 1533-position model. The record is from RNAcentral.